Molecule: long non-coding RNA, 85 nt
Organism: Sander lucioperca (pikeperch)
Lineage: Eukaryota; Metazoa; Chordata; Actinopteri; Perciformes; Percidae
Exons: 3
Source: RefSeq, a predicted model, not a curated record
UUGGGAAAAAUUUGGUUUUUUCUCUAAUAUAUGAAAGUAAAUAAGAUUUGAGAGGUAUUUUUAACUUUACUUUUCAAAAAGGAAA